This 406-nucleotide ribosomal RNA is filed under the name uncultured bacterium. RNAcentral's name for it is "partial 16S ribosomal RNA". It matches the Rfam family "Bacterial small subunit ribosomal RNA", at positions 30 to 526 of the family's 1533-position model. The record is from RNAcentral.
AUUGAACGCUGGCGGCAGGCCUAACACAUGCAAGUCGAACGAGUGGCGGACGGGUGAGUAAUGUCUAGGAAACUGCCUGAUGGAGGGGGAUAACUUCUGGAAACGGUAGCUAAUACCGCAUACCAUCGGAUGUGCCCAGAUGGGAUUAGCUUGUAGGUGAGGUAACGGCUCACCUAGGCGACGAUCCGUAGCUGGUCUGAGAGGAUGACCAGCCAAACUGGAACGGAGACACGGUCCAGACUCCUACGGGAGGCAGCAGUGGGGAAUAUUGGACAAUGGGCGAAAGCCUGAUGCAGCCAGGCCGCGUGUAUGAAGAAGGCCUUCGGGUUGUAAAGUACUUUCAGCGGGGAGGCGUUACCCGCAGAAGAAGCACCGGCUAACUCCGUGCCAGCAGCCGCGGUAAUAC